AGAAUCAACGCUGGCGGCGUGCCUAACACAUGCAAGUCGCACGAGAAAGGGGAGCAAUACCUGAGUAAAGUGGCGCACGGGUGAGUAACACGUGAAUUAUCUACCUCCGAGUGGGGAAUAACUGAGAGAAAUCUUAGCUAAUACCGCAUAACACUUACGAGUCAAAGCAGCAAUGCGCUUGGAGAGGAGUUCGCGGCAGAUUAGUUAGUUGGCGGGGUAAUGGCCACCAAGACGAUGAUCUGUAUCCGGCCUGAGAGGGCGCACGGACACACUGGAACUGAAACACGGUCCAGACUCCUACGGGAGGCAGCAGUGGGGAAUUUUGCGCAAUGGGGGAAACCCUGACGCAGCAACGCCGCGUGGAGGAUGAAAUAUCUUGGUAUGUAAACUCCUUUCGAUGGGGAAGAUUAUGACGGUACCCAUAGAAGAAGCCCCGGCUAACUUCGUGCCAGCAGCCGC
This 459-nucleotide ribosomal RNA is filed under the name uncultured bacterium. Its description in RNAcentral is "SSU rRNA". It matches the Rfam family "Bacterial small subunit ribosomal RNA", at positions 26 to 518 of the family's 1533-position model. The record is from RNAcentral.